UGAUCAGGUUGAAGUCAGGGGAAACCCUGAUGGGAGACCGAAACAGUUCUGACGUGCAAAUCGAUUGUCAGAAUUGAGUAUAGGGGCGAAAGACCAAUCGAACCAUCUAGUAGCUGGUUCCUUCCGAAGUUUCCCUCAGGAUAGCUGGUGCAUUUUAAUAUUAUAUAAAAUAAUCUUAUCUGGUAAAGCGAAUGAUUAGAGGCCUUAGGGUCGAAACGAUCUUAACCUAUUCUCAAACUUUAAAUGGGUAAGAACCUUAACUUUCUUGAUAUGAAGUUCAAGGUUAUGAUAUAAUGUGCCCAGUGGGCCACUUUUGGUAAGCAGAACUGGCGCUGUGGGAUGAACCAAACGUAAUGUUACGGUGCCCAAAUUAACAACUCAUGCAGAUACCAUGAAAGGCGUUGGUUGCUUAAAACAGCAGGACGGUGAUCAUGGAAGUCGAAAUCCGCUAAGGAGUGUGUAACAACUCACCUGCCGAAGCAACUAGCCCUUAAAAUGGAUGGCGCUUAAGUUGUAUACCUAUACAUUACCGCUAAAGUAGAUGAUUUAUAUUACUUGUGAUAUAAAUUUUGAAACUUUAGUGAGUAGGAAGGUACAAUGGUAUGCGUAGAAGUGUUUGGCGUAAGCCUGCAUGGAGCUGCCAUUGGUACAGAUCUUGGUGGUAGUAGCAAAUAAUCGAAUGAGACCUUGGAGGACUGAAGUGGAGAAGGGUUUCGUGUGAACAGUGGUUGAUCACGAGUUAGUCGGUCCUAAGUUCAAGGCGAAAGCCGAAAAUUUUCAAGUAAAACAAAAAUGCCUAACUAUAUAAACAAAGCGAAUUAUAAUACACUUGAAUAAUUUUGAACGAAAGGGAAUGCGGUUCCAAUUCCGUAACCUGUUGAGUAUCCGUUUGUUAUUAAAUAUGGGCCUCGUGCUCAUCCUGGCAACAGGAACGACCAUAAAGAAGCCGUCGAGAGAUAUCGGAAGAGUUUUCUUUUCUGUUUUAUAGCCGUACUACCAUGGAAGUCUUUCGCAGAGAGAUAUGGUAGAUGGGCUAGAAGAGCAUGACAUAUACUGUUGUGUCGAUAUUUUCUCCUCGGACCUUGAAAAUUUAUGGUGGGGACACGCAAACUUCUCAACAGGCCGUACCAAUAUCCGCAGCUGGUCUCCAAGGUGAAGAGUCUCUAGUCGAUAGAAUAAUGUAGGUAAGGGAAGUCGGCAAAUUAGAUCCGUAACUUCGGGAUAAGGAUUGGCUCUGAAGAUUGAGAUAGUCGGGCUUGAUUGGGAAACAAUAACAUGGUUUAUGUGCUCGUUCUGGGUAAAUAGAGUUUCUAGCAUUUAUGUUAGUUACUUGUUCCCCGGAUAGUUUAGUUACGUAGCCAAUUGUGGAACUUUCUUGCUAAAAUUUUUAAGAAUACUAUUUGGGUUAAACCAAUUAGUUCUUAUUAAUUAUAACGAUUAUCAAUUAACAAUCAAUUCAGAACUGGCACGGACUUGGGGAAUCCGACUGUCUAAUUAAAACAAAGCAUUGUGAUGGCCCUAGCGGGUGUUGACACAAUGUGAUUUCUGCCCAGUGCUCUGAAUGUCAAAGUGAAGAAAUUCAAGUAAGCGCGGGUCAACGGCGGGAGUAACUAUGACUCUCUUAAGGUAGCCAAAUGCCUCGUCAUCUAAUUAGUGACGCGCAUGAAUGGAUUAACGAGAUUCCUACUGUCCCUAUCUACAAGAUUUGCCGAGGUCGCAGGAAGUGCACGGAGAUUGGGUGCCUCCGCGUGAAUGGCGAGCUGAUCACUGAUUGGGGUGACUGCGCACGAGUGCUCCUCCGCAAUUUUUUCCCAGUUGCGGAGUCCGAAGCACCGACUGCCAUCGCGGAGGAAGUCCCACCGGCCCUCGAAGUAUUCGAGGUUGAUACAUGUGUUGCCCGGCUGAAGAGCAGGCGCUCUCCCGGGUUGGACGGCAUCAAUGGCACUAUCUGCAAGGCAGUCUGGCGCGCCAUACCCGAGCACCUAGCAUCAUUGUUUUCCCGAUGCAUCCGAUUGGGAUACUUUCCAGCCGAGUGGAAGUGCCCACGAGUUGUCUCGUUGCUCAAAGGGCCAGAUAAGGACAAGUGUGAGCCCUCCUCAUACAGAGGAAUAUGCUUGCUACCAGUCUUUGGAAAGGUGCUCGAGGCCAUCAUGGUGAAUCGUGUGAGAGAAGUUCUUCCGGAAGGCUGCAGAUGGCAAUUUGGAUUUCGCCAAGGACGAUGUGUGGAGGAUGCUUGGAGGCACGUGAAGAGCAGUGUUGGCGCCAGCCCGGCGCAAUACGUGCUCGGCACAUUCGUGGACUUCAAAGGAGCAUUCGACAACGUCGAAUGGAGUGCUGCACUCAGCCGACUAGCCGACUUGGGAUGCCGGGAAAUGGGCUUGUGGCAGAGCUUUUUCUCCGGCCGAAGAGCAGUGAUCCGAAGCAGUUCCGGUACUGUGGAGGUACCGGUAACUAGAGGCUGCCCGCAGGGAUCAAUCAGCGGCCCAUUUAUCUGGGACAUACUGAUGGAUGUACUGCUUCAGCGUCUCCAGCCGUAUUGCCAGCUGAGUGCAUACGCGGAUGACUUGCUGCUUCUCGUCGAGGGAAAUUCCCGA
RNAcentral lists this ribosomal RNA (2594 nucleotides) under Drosophila melanogaster (fruit fly). Its description in RNAcentral is "eukaryotic LSU rRNA". The stretch from base 1 to 1750 matches the Rfam family "Eukaryotic large subunit ribosomal RNA", at positions 838 to 3401 of the family's 3401-position model. The record is from RNAcentral. Lineage: Eukaryota; Metazoa; Arthropoda; Insecta; Diptera; Drosophilidae.